RNAcentral lists this ribosomal RNA (497 nucleotides) under uncultured bacterium. RNAcentral's name for it is "partial 16S ribosomal RNA". It matches the Rfam family "Bacterial small subunit ribosomal RNA", at positions 28 to 507 of the family's 1533-position model. The record is from RNAcentral.
GAUGAACGCUGGCGGCGUGCCUAAUACAUGCAAGUCGAGCGAACAGACGAGGAGCUUGCUCCUCUGACGUUAGCGGCGGACGGGUGAGUAACACGUGGAUAACCUACCUAUAAGACUGGGAUAACUCCGGGAAACCGGAGCUAAUACCGGAUAAUAUAUUGAACCGCAUGGUUCAAUAGUGAAAGACGGUUUUGCUGUCACUUAUAGAUGGAUCCGCGCCGCAUUAGCUAGUUGGUAAGGUAACGGCUUACCAAGGCAACGAUGCGUAGCCGACCUGAGAGGGUGAUCGGCCACACUGGAACUGAGACACGGUCCAGACUCCUACGGGAGGCAGCAGUAGGGAAUCUUCCGCAAAGGGCGAAAGCCUGACGGAGCAACGCCGCGUGAGUGAUGAAGGUCUUCGGAUCGUAAAACUCUGUUAUUAGGGAAGAACAAAUGUGUAAGUAACUAUGCACGUCUUGACGGUACCUAAUCAGAAAGCCACGGCUAACUACGUG